GACGAACGCUGGCGGCGUGCUUAACACAUGCAAGUCGAACGGAAAGGCCCUGCUUUUGUGGGGUGCUCGAGUGGCGAACGGGUGAGUAACACGUGAGUAACCCGCCCUUGACUUUGGGAUAACUUCAGGAAACUGGGGCUAAUACCGGAUAGGAGCUCCUGCUGCAUGGUGGGGGUUGGAAAGUUUCGGCGGUUGGGGAUGGACUCGCGGCUUAUCAGCUUGUUGGUGGGGUAGUGGCUUACCAAGGCUUUGACGGGUAGCCGGCCUGAGAGGGUGACCGGCCACAUUGGGACUGAGAUACGGCCCGGACUCCUACGGGAGGCAGCAGUGGGGAAUAUUGCACAAUGGGCGGAAGCCUGAUGCAGCAACGCCGCGUGCGGGAUGACGGCCUUCGGGUUGUAAACCGCUUUCGCCUGUGACGAAGCGUGAGUGACGGUAAUGGGUAAAGAAGCACCGGCUAACUACGUGCCAGCAGCCGCGGUGAUACGUAGGGUGCGAGCGUUGUCCGGAUUUAUUGGGCGUAAAGGGCUCAUAGGUGGUUGAUCGCGUCGGAAGUGUAAUCUUGGGGCUUAACCCUGAGCGUACUUUCGAUACGGGUUGACUUGAGGAAGGUAGGGGAGAAUGGAAUUCCUGGUGGAGCGGUGGAAUGCGCAGGUAUCAGGAGGAACACCAGUGGCGAAGGCGGUUCUCUGGGCCUUUCCUGACGCUGAGGAGCGAAAGCGUGGGGAGCGAACAGGCUUAGAUACCCUGGUAGUCCACGCUGUAAACGGUGGGUACUAGGUGUGGGGUCCAUUCCACGGGUUCCGUGCCGUAGCUAACGCUUUAAGUACCCCGCCUGGGGAGUACGGCCGCAAGGCUAAAACUCAAAGGAAUUGACGGGGCCCCGCACAAGCGGCGGAGCAUGCGGAUUAAUUCGAUGCAACGCGUAGAACCUUACCUGGGUUUGACAUGGAUCGGGAGUGCUCAGAGAUGGGUGUGCCUCUUUUGGGGUCGGUUCACAGGUGGUGCAUGCCUGUCGUCAGCUCGUGUCGUGAGAUGUUGGGUUAAGUCCCGCAACGAGCGCAACCCUUGUUCACUGUUGCCAGCACGUUAUGGUGGGGACUCAGUGGAGACCGCCGGGGUCAACUCGGAGGAAGGUGGGGAUGACGUCAAGUCAUCAUGCCCCUUAUGUCCAGGGCUUCACGCAUGCUACAAUGGCUGGUACAGAGAGUGGCGAGCCUGUGAGGGUGAGCGAAUCUCGGAAAGCCGGUCUCAGUUCGGAUUGGGGUCUGCAACUCGACCUCAUGAAGUCGGAGUCGCUAGUAAUCGCAGAUCAGCAACGCUGCGGUGAAUACGUUCCCGGG
RNAcentral lists this ribosomal RNA (1343 nucleotides) under uncultured bacterium. Its description in RNAcentral is "16S ribosomal RNA". It matches the Rfam family "Bacterial small subunit ribosomal RNA", at positions 28 to 1378 of the family's 1533-position model. The record is from RNAcentral.